GACGAACGCUGGCGGCGUGCCUAAUACAUGCCAGUAGAACGCACAGUUUAUACCGUAGCUUGCUACACCAUAGACUGUGAGUUGCGAACGGGUGAGUAACGCGUAGGUAACCUGCCUGGUAGCGGGGGAUAACUAUUGGAAACGAUAGCUAAUACCGCAUAAUAUUGAUUAUUGCAUGAUAAUUGAUUGAAAGAUGCUAUUGCAUCACUACCAGAUGGACCUGCGUUGUAUUAGCUAGUAGGUGAGGUAACGGCUCACCUAGGCGACGAUACAUAGCCGACCUGAGAGGGUGAUCGGCCACACUGGGACUGAGAUACGGCCCAGACUCCUACGGGAGGCAGCAGUAGGGAAUCUUCGGCAAUGGACGAAAGUCUGACCGAGCAACGCCGCGUGAGUGAAGAAGGUUGUCGGAUCGUAAAGCUCUGUUGUAAGAGAAGAACGGGUGUGAGAGUGGAAAGUUCACACUGUGACGGUAUCUUACCAGAAAGGGACGGCUAACUACGUG
RNAcentral lists this ribosomal RNA (505 nucleotides) under uncultured bacterium. RNAcentral describes it as "partial 16S ribosomal RNA". It matches the Rfam family "Bacterial small subunit ribosomal RNA", at positions 28 to 507 of the family's 1533-position model. The record is from RNAcentral.